RNAcentral lists this transfer RNA (78 nucleotides) under Candidatus Thorarchaeota archaeon. RNAcentral describes it as "tRNA-Arg". It matches the Rfam family "tRNA". From Rfam's summary of the family: Transfer RNA (tRNA) molecules are approximately 80 nucleotides in length. The record is from RNAcentral. Lineage: Archaea; Promethearchaeati; Candidatus Thorarchaeota.
GGGCCCGUUGCCUAGCCCGGAUAGGGCGCUACCCUUCUAAGGUAGAUCUCGAGCGUUCGAAUCGCUCCGGGCCCGCCA